This is a non-coding RNA of 'Nostoc azollae' 0708, 390 nucleotides long. The record is from Rfam. NCBI's taxonomy places the organism in Bacteria, Bacillati, Cyanobacteriota, Cyanophyceae, Nostocales, Nostocaceae.
GAGAGUAGGCGCAGGCAGUUGCAGAUCAGUUAUUAAGACUGGUUUGAGGAAAGUCCGGGCUCCCGAAAGACCAGACUUGCUGGAUAACGUCCAGUGCGAGUGAUCGUGAGGAUAGUGCCACAGAAAGAUACCGCCAAAACAAUUCAAAAUUAAAAAUUAAAAAUUUUGAAUUGAAUGGUAAGGGUGCAAAGGUGCGGUAAGAGCGCACCAGCAGUAUCGAGAGGUGCUGGCUCGGUAAACCCCGGUUGGGAGCAAGGACAGAGGAACUAUGGUUGGUCUUUUACCAGUUCUGUUAAACAAGAGCCGCUAGAGGCGUUUGGUGACAAGCGUCCCAGAUAGAUAACUGCCCUCGCAAGAGAACAGAACCCGGCUUAUGUCCUGCUCUCUCUU